This 344-nucleotide transfer-messenger RNA is filed under the name Lachnospiraceae. Its description in RNAcentral is "CAG-411 sp014799595 Standard tmRNA". It matches the Rfam family "transfer-messenger RNA". Rfam says of the family: Bacterial tmRNA, also known as 10Sa RNA or SsrA, is named for its dual tRNA and mRNA-like properties. Its role is to liberate the mRNA from a stalled ribosome. To accomplish this part of the tmRNA is used as a reading frame that ends in a translation stop signal. The record is from RNAcentral. RNAcentral also lists the same sequence under 1 other name. Lineage: Bacteria; Bacillati; Bacillota; Clostridia; Lachnospirales.
GGGGUUGUACUGGUUUCGACGGGGAUUUUGAAACUCUGGCAGCUAUCCGUGGACUAGGACCACGUUAAAACUUAGACUUAAAUAUAAACGCUGAAGACAAUUUAGCUUACGCUGCCUAGUUGCAGCUGUCAACCCUAGGUUUCCUACGGCUUAGGACUUGGCAUCAAACUAGUAGGGCACCUUAUCUACAAAGCUUUGCGUAGGUAAGAGAAAUAUGAAGCUACUAAAGCUUGCAGGAUGUCAGUUUCCGGCAAGUGGAGGGAAUGUCAAAUGACUGACUGUGAUAGGAGAUACCAGUGUGGAAGGGUUUUCGGACGCGGGUUCAACUCCCGCCAGCUCCACUU